RNAcentral lists this ribosomal RNA (523 nucleotides) under uncultured bacterium. Its description in RNAcentral is "bacterial SSU rRNA". It matches the Rfam family "Bacterial small subunit ribosomal RNA", at positions 1 to 523 of the family's 1533-position model. The record is from RNAcentral.
GGGAGAGUUUGAUCCUGGCUCAGAUUGAACGCUGGCGGAAUGCUUUACACAUGCAAGUCGAGCGGCAGCGCGGGGGCAACCCUGGCGGCGAGCGGCGAACGGGUGAGUAAUAUAUCGGAACGUACCCCGUCGUGGGGGAUAACACAGCGAAAGCUGUGCUAAUACCGCAUACGACCUGAGGGUGAAAGCGGGGGAUCGCAAGACCCCGCGCGAUGGGAGCGGCCGAUAUCGGAUUAGCUUGUUGGUGAGGUAAAGGCUCACCAAGGCGACGAUCCGUAGCUGGUCUGAGAGGACGACCAGCCACACUGGAACUGAGACACGGUCCAGACUCCUACGGGAGGCAGCAGUGGGGAAUUUUGGACAAUGGGGGCAACCCUGAUCCAGCCAUUCCGCGUGAGUGAAGAAGGCCUUCGGGUUGUAAAGCUCUUUCAGCAGGAACGAAACGGUGGCCACUAAUACUGGCUACUAAUGACGGUACCUGAAGAAGAAGCACCGGCUAACUACGUGCCAGCAGCCGCGGUAA